Molecule: non-coding RNA, 1333 nt
Organism: Ceratotherium simum simum (southern white rhinoceros)
Lineage: Eukaryota; Metazoa; Chordata; Mammalia; Perissodactyla; Rhinocerotidae
Source: RefSeq, a predicted model, not a curated record
CACACAGGCCGGGUUAGCAGGGGAUGGGGGAGGACUUGAGGACAGCAGUACAGACAACAGACAAGGAGUCCUGCUGUGAAGGGGGGCAGAGAAAUGAGGUUGGACCUGAAAGGGGAAGUGGGGGUAGAGAGAGGGCUUUACUUUUAGAAUGGAGAAAUUACAGUCUGGUUGUGUGCUGGUGGGAAGUGCUUUCCUAGAGACAAGUUCGGUGAAGGGGGCGAGGAUGGAGGAUGGCUGCAGGAGGGCAGGGGGAUGGAUCCCGUGCCCCAGGGAGGCUUGGUGCCAGCUGAAAGCCAGGACAGUUCAACAGCUGGCCUUCCCUGGGCCUCCCUCCCUCUCCUGUCUGCAGGGGCCCAGUGGACUGAGAUUUCAGCACUUAAACACAUUAACUGGCUCGGGGCCCCAGAGAAACCAGGCUGGCUGUGGUCUCAGGAAGGAAGAAGGUGUCAGGGCUUGGGGAUAAGGGAGGACCCACGUGUGUUGCCCCUUCUGCUUGAUCCUCUUUCAGCAAGGAAGUGCCCCUCCCUUUGCAUGGGUGGGCUUCACUUUCCUGGAGGAGAGACUGUAAUGACUCCAAAGGUGUGGUCACUGAAGUGGAGAAGAAAAGGCACUGCGAUAGGCUGAUGUAUUUAGUCUGAAGGGGGGAAGUCUGAGCAGGUGAUCAAGGGGCAAGAGGCAGGAUUUUAGGGACAGUUUUUAUGAAAUAGGUGAUGAGUGGACAUGUAUUUUCUUUCUCCCAAUUUGAAUUGAAGCAGGAGAAACUUAAGCUAGAUAUAAGGAGGAGCUUCCUGAGCUGGUUAGGGAGGACAGUAAGAAGGCCAGAUCCUCCCCCCUCAGUGUUUAAGAUGGGAGAGGACAAUGCCUGUUCAGAGACAGGGGGCUGGCCAAAUUGGUCCUUGGGGAUUCUCCCUGCUCUGAGGUUUCCGGAAGAAAGCCAGGGCAGAAGAUGGAACUUUCCAGCUGCUAGGGGGAGGACAGAGUGCCGAACCUUAUGGCUUGGCCUGCCUCUCCCUCCUGGUGUCCACAGAGCCCUGAUGUCACUGGCUUGGGUGUGUGUGGCUUGAGCGUCCAUCGGGCUGCCCCAGACUUGGUGUGUUCAGGAAGGGCCCUGCUUACUCACAGCUUGUCCCUCUGUGGGUGAGCACUUCUGUGGGCGUGUCUCAGGUCCCAGCGGGGUCUCUCAGUGUGGGUCAUGGUGGACGCACAAGGCUUUGCACCAGAACUGCUGAGAAUUACCUAUUUCUGCACAGCUGGUUGGACAACUCUGGCUUCUGGCUCAUCCUUCCGGGGUUUCCCCGGAAGCUAGGGUCUCUGGGCAGAUCCAGGCCUGUCA